CUUCUUCCUCUCAACUCUAAUGAAACACCAAAAGAAUUCGCAAACGUAUCACUGAAGCCUUCUCUAAAUUGGAGAGAUCAUAUGAAAAUCUUCAUCAGUGAUGGUGUAAUUAUGGCUUAACAAGGAGAGAUGUGAAAUUGGAUGGGGUGCGCUCCUUCGUUAAUGUUGUGCAGGUGCUGUUACAAGACCAUUACCACUCUGGAAUCAUCAACUACAGCUCUCGGUUCAUCAUUAUUCGAGGAAAUGCAGUGAAUAGUAUUUCAAUGGAAUCAUCGUCCAACCAUAAUUAGCUACCUGCAACUAAUAUACAAAAGUGACUACAUAAUCUAUCAUGGAGCUGAAAAAUGGUUGCAUAACCUAUUAUAGUAAGGUGGAGUGUCAUCUCAACCGAGAAACAACACAGCAAUAACUGACUUUUGGUGGGUCUAUAAUGUGUCUGCUGGUGUAAGAGAGAUUAUGAAGAGUUGUCAUGCUCCUCAAUAAUAUAUGUAUAACCUGUCAUGCAGUCGAGAAAA
Molecule: long non-coding RNA, 515 nt
Organism: Papaver somniferum (opium poppy)
Lineage: Eukaryota; Viridiplantae; Streptophyta; Magnoliopsida; Ranunculales; Papaveraceae
Exons: 3
Source: RefSeq, a predicted model, not a curated record